RNAcentral lists this ribosomal RNA (518 nucleotides) under uncultured fungus. Its description in RNAcentral is "SSU rRNA". It matches the Rfam family "Eukaryotic small subunit ribosomal RNA", at positions 209 to 726 of the family's 1831-position model. Lineage: Eukaryota; Fungi. The record is from RNAcentral.
AUUAGAUAAAAAGCCAACGCGGCUUGCCGCUCCCUUGGUGAUUCAUAAUAACUUCUCGAAUCGCAUGACCUUGCGUCGGCGAUGCUUCAUUCAAAUAUCUGCCCUAUCAACUUUCGAUGGUAGGAUAGUGGCCUACCAUGGUUUCAACGGGUAACGGGGAAUAAGGGUUCGAUUCCGGAGAGGGAGCCUGAGAAACGGCUACCACUUCCAAGGAAGGCAGCAGGCGCGCAAAUUACCCAAUCCCGACACGGGGAGGUAGUGACAAUAAUUAACAAUAUAGGGCUCUUUUGGGUCUUAUAAUUGGAAUGAGUACAAUUUAAAUCUCUUAACGAGGAACAAUUGGAGGGCAAGUCUGGUGCCAGCAGCCGCGGUAAUUCCAGCUCCAAUAGCGUAUAUUAAAGUAGUUGCAGUUAAAAAGCUCGUAGUUGAACUUGAGAUCCGGUUGGGUGGUCCGCUUAACGGCGUGUACUGCUCGACUGGAUCUUGUCUCUUGGUGAUCGGUUGUGUUCUUAAUUGGA